Molecule: long non-coding RNA, 3732 nt
Filed under: Mytilus galloprovincialis (Mediterranean mussel)
Lineage: Eukaryota; Metazoa; Mollusca; Bivalvia; Mytilida; Mytilidae
Source: RNAcentral
GUGCAUAGUUACAUAGGUUGUGAUCUCGCAUGAAUAACACUUAGAUAAGGAACCAAGGGAGCAAAACGAGUUCUUUAAAAUGACAUUACGACAUUGCCGUAUUGCUGUUGUUUUGUUUCUUAUUUCAUAUCUAGGUAUGUAUAUUUUUUUCAAAAACAUUUAACAAAUGAAGCCAAAUAUCAAUCGUUGAUAAUUAUUUGAUUUUUAAUUAAUAAAACAACUUUAAGUUUGAGAUAAUUUUUGGAAUGCACUAAGUUAACAAUUAUCGUAAAGUUAUGUUGUCAAGACUAAUCGGUAAUGAUGUUUGGUCAUAUCUAAUUUUGAAUCACAGUUCGAAUUGAAUUUAAAGAAUUAAACGAUUCGCUGUUUUCCUUUGCCACCAUCAUAUAUAAGACAUUUAUAAAUAACUAAAAUAGUGAAAGCACAAAAAGCUCGUGUAAAGAGCGAAUGUUCAACAUAUUCAUUUACAUGUAAAAUUGAUUUAUGUGGGUUUUUUUUGUGGAUACUGAGUUUGUUGGUCACUUUUUUAAUCCACUAUUGUCUUGUUUGUUUUGCCACGAUAUAUUAAUUUGAAUUGCGACAAUUGCAUCUGUUCAAUCUUUUGACGUAAGUAAAGGUUGCGCUUAUUUCUCUAUCGUGCUAUCUAUAAUAACCCCCACCGACGGUCUGUUUGAAUAAUUAAAGGUACUAGUAUGAUGUUAAAAUCAGCAUUCACGAUCUUCAAAUUAAGACUAACUGCUUCAAAUUUUUUGAAAAACAUUUAAAAUACAAGCAACAUAGUUGGAAUUUAUAUGGAAAGCGUAUUUUCUAUUAGGAAAUAUUUUUAAAGCGUAUUUUCUUUUUGGCAUAACUUUUAGGAAUUUUGGUCCUGAAUGCUCUUCAACCUCGUACUUUAUUUGGCCUUUUAAUCAGUUUUUGAUUCGAAAGUCUUUUGUAGACAAAACGCGCGUUUGGCGUAAAUAUAGAAUUUUGGUCCUGGUAUCUCUGAUGAGUUUAUUUGCAACCACUGAGUCUAAGGUCAGCUGAACCUUGCACACAUUAAAUCACUAUGCUUGGUCAAUAAUUAUAACAAAUUAUACGUCAAUUGAAUGUUCUCUGACUUAAUGCAGGAUAUGUAUUGACGGAGUGUCCAUUAGGAUGGCGGCAGUAUAACAGUUCAUGCUACGUUCUCAGUUCCAAAAGAUUAAGCUGGUAUAAUGCAGAGGUAAAUAAAUGUACAAACAAGAAUACUAGUCAUGAUUGUCCAUAAUUGAUAAAUUGUUUGAUUUGAAUAGACCACCAAUUUUAGCGCAAUUGGCUCUUAUGUGACAGUUUCCAUUGGUGAAUGAGCAGAGAAAAUCACCAAACGUCGGAAAGAAAACCGACAAUCCUAUUCGAUUCAUAUUGGAAUUGAGUUCACCUGUCUCGUGCACAACCAAUGUAGACAUGUUACUGAUGAAUAAAGUUGUACGUCAUAGACUUCUCAGAAACCAAAGCCCCUGAUUGUCCAUGAUACUACGUUCCAUCGCAUGACGUAGAGAUAAUUAACAAUAAGGUACCGUACGGUCUUAAACAAUGAUCGAAACCCAAAUUCGUAGCGUUAGAUAAAAAAAACCUCUGUGUGAACUUUGCAAUGCAAAUAUAUAAUCAUAACCGUUCAGUCAUACACAUUUAGCUAUGUUUGAAUUUAAAGAGAACAAAAUGAAACAUAAAACCGACAAAAACAGUAUUCAGCGAUCUUCUAUAUUAGUAUCAAAGAAAAUGAUAUAUUUUUGUUCGUUCUGAUGUUUACAGUUUACAAGCUAUUCUUAUGUCGAACUAUAACAUAACAAAUGUAUCCUGUUCACAUUAUUUGUGAACCUGCAUUCCAGGGUUGUUGUGUGUCGAUGUGUACUGGUAUAUUGCCUGUUGUCUUUGUCAUAAACGAGACUGCUGGUGUGUUUUGGUUGAAUUGUUUUCAUUUUGUCAUGCCGGGUCUUUUUAUAGCUUGCUGUACGGUAUGUCUUUGGUCAUUGCUAAAGGCGGUAUUGUUGCCUAGUAUUGUUCAACAUAAUGUAGUUUGGAUUCUGCUGGACUGUUGUCCUGCAGAAAGUUUGGAAAAAUAUUUUUUGCAAACAAGGUUUUGAACUGACAAUCUAUAAAUAUAUAUACAUAACGAUACAAACAAUUGCUAGUGCCGACAAAUGACUGGGUCCGUGUGAAAAACUAUAGAUGGCGGGGUAUAAAUAAACUACAUUUAAAACACUGUUUUAAUCAUACUUAUAGCUAUAUUUUGGAAUGUUAACUAUCACACUAGACUUCUAUCAAAGUUUAAAAAAGCUAAUACUAUCGACUACUUAAUGUUGCUGGUAGAUGUUAGGAAUUGAAAUAAAGGAAAUACUAGAGCAAGGAUAAUAAAGCGAAAAUGAAAACAGUUAAUGUAAACAUUUGUUGUAGAGUUACUGUCAAGAACAUGGUGCCCGGCUUAUUGAAAUUGAAACUAAAGAGCAACAAGACUCCUUGACAGAUUUGGCAAAACGUUUUUAUAGCAUCAGUAUUAUACAUAUCGUAACUGCCACUGUUACACAUAAUUCAAAAGGAGUAAAGUUUAUCUGCCACACGCAUUUAUCUUUCUAAAAUUUCAACGAAAGGUACGAACGAACGAACGUUAAUGAAGACUACAUUGAACUCCCAUAAUAACACUGAGAGUUUAUGUUUUAUUUGGUAAAACGGCUAGCUUUGUCAGAAUGCAAAGUUUCUUUAGAAAUUGAAACAUAUAUCUCAUUAACUGAUUUUUUAAAUAUCUGAAGAAAAAAAAACGUACAUUCAAAUGUAUACGUUCCUUGUUUUGCAAGGCGACACACAUUUGUUUGAUGAUGUAUUACGUACAUGUAUAUACUAGUAGCAUUUUGGUUGUUGUGGAAAAAGGUGAAGUUGUUUUCAUAAUUUGUAUGUCUUAUCAUUUACCAUUAUUUAAAUUCGAUUGGUCAAAAUCCUUAGAAUCAUAGAUUUCUGCAAUACGAGCGACACAUAGUUAAAAAGGUGAUGGCUCUUUUUUCCUUGUUCAGUAUUGAUGUUGUAGAUACUGAAUUUCAAUUUCAAUUUAGAAUAUAAUUUUUGGCUCGGUGGAAAAGAUGAGAUUAGUGAAAACAGAUGGAUAUGGUCAUCAACAAAUCACUCAAUAAUGUAUAAAAACUGGGGCAUAGGUGAACCAAAUGGUGGAAAAGGAGAGAACUGCCUCGCUAUGUACGGAUUUUGGACAUACACGUGGUAUGACAUGGGAUGUUCAUAUUUACUACAGUUUGUCUGUGAGAAAAGGUAUGAUUGUUUUUUCAAUUGACUCAAUUCUAUGCAUUAUCUAGAAUUAAAACAUAAACUGGAUUAAUGGAAAAGGUUAAAGAAAAUAUAAACAUAAACAAGAAAAGAUGUCAACCAAAAACAGGUAUCUGCAGGACGUUUGUUAGAUACCAGGACGCUUUUUAAACUAGGUGAUGCAAUAAUUGACAAUUAUUGGUAGAUUUAACAUUAAAUGUAUGUUGAUAAAAAUAUAUUGGUUAUACUUUAAGCAUGUUAUAGCGAAUCUGAAGUAAAAUAGAAUACUAUAUAGAAAAAAAAUAAGGCCAUAUUUGACAUCUAAAACACAAAUGAUUUUGGACUGCUUUCAAUAUAAAAAUAAUUAAAAGCAAAUAUGAAGACGUUAUCAUUUCUAUUUCAGUUACCAAGAUGGGGAAGAAAUCAUUGGCUAAGUUUAGAAAGUAAAUAAAAAGAUAUCGC